This 421-nucleotide long non-coding RNA is filed under the name Amborella trichopoda. RNAcentral's name for it is "long non-coding RNA (ATRI_LNC004906)". The record is from RNAcentral. Lineage: Eukaryota; Viridiplantae; Streptophyta; Magnoliopsida; Amborellales; Amborellaceae.
AUUUUUAUGAACACCUGGAUAUUUUAUUUAUAAUUUUUGGAUUUAUAAAAUUAAAGAUAUUGAUUUUAUAAUUGUUUAAAUAUUCAAAUAAUAUUCUAAAAUCCUUCUAUUAAUUUUAAAUAUAUAAAAAUAUCAUGGGGGCCCAUUGUGCACAUGGGCCCGCCAUAUUUUUUUUAGCAGGUGGGGCCCAUGAGUGCCUCCCUUGGGUGGCACGCCCCACCCUUAUUCUCUUUCCUAUUUUUUGGUGAUAUGACAUGUGGCCAUAUGGUUGGAAGACAUUGACUAAAUAUUAACUUGAUCUAUAUCUUUGAAAGAUUUUGUGGAAAGAUUGAGUAGACUUGUGCUAUUUAUGGUACGCACAAUAUUUUGAUUAGAUUUAAGUUAUUUAAUUUCUAUUGAUGGGAAAAUGGUUUAGAAAAAA